Molecule: ribosomal RNA, 253 nt
Filed under: uncultured bacterium
Lineage: Bacteria
Description: partial 16S ribosomal RNA
Rfam family: Bacterial small subunit ribosomal RNA
Source: RNAcentral
UACGAAGGGGGCUAGCGUUGUCCGGAUUUAUUGGGCGUAAAGAGCUCGUAGGCGGUUUGGCAAGUCGGGUGUGAAAACUCCGGCUCAACUCGGAGACGCCACUCGAUACUGCCAUGACUCGAGUCCGGUAGGGGAGUGCGGAAUUCCUGGUGUAGCGGUGAAAUGCGCAGAUAUCAGGAGGAACACCGGUGGCGAAGGCGGCACUCUGGGCCGGUACUGACGCUGAGGAGCGAAAGCGUGGGGAGCGAACAGG